RNAcentral lists this ribosomal RNA (253 nucleotides) under uncultured Prevotella sp. Its description in RNAcentral is "partial 16S ribosomal RNA". It matches the Rfam family "Bacterial small subunit ribosomal RNA", at positions 524 to 776 of the family's 1533-position model. The record is from RNAcentral. Lineage: Bacteria; Pseudomonadati; Bacteroidota; Bacteroidia; Bacteroidales; Prevotellaceae.
UACGGAAGGUCCGGGCGUUAUCCGGAUUUAUUGGGUUUAAAGGGAGCGUAGGCCGGCUUUUAAGUCAGCUGUGAAAGUCCGCGGCUCAACCGUGGAAUUGCAGUUGAAACUGGAGGCCUUGAGUGCACACAGGGAUGCCGGAAUUCAUGGUGUAGCGGUGAAAUGCUUAGAUAUCAUGAAGAACUCCGAUCGCGAAGGCAGCCUGCUGGACUGUAACUGACGCUGAUGCUCGAAAGCAUGGGUAGCGAACAGG